ACACGACUACAUUAGAUACCCCCGUAGUCCUAGCCGUAAACGAUACUCGCUAGGUGUCGGCCACGGUGCGACCGUUGUCGGUGCCGUAGGGAAGCCGUGAAGCGAGCCACCUGGGAAGUACGGCCGCAAGGCUGAAACUUAAAGGAAUUGGCGGGGGAGCACCACAACGGGUGGAGCUUGCGGUUUAAUUGGAUUCAACGCCGGAAAUCCUACCGGGACCGACAGCAACAUGAAGGCCAGGCUGAAGACUUUGCCGGAUUAGCUG
RNAcentral lists this ribosomal RNA (265 nucleotides) under uncultured archaeon. Its description in RNAcentral is "partial 16S ribosomal RNA". It matches the Rfam family "Archaeal small subunit ribosomal RNA", at positions 717 to 982 of the family's 1478-position model. The record is from RNAcentral.